GGGUUGUGAGGUUAAGCGACUAAGCGUACACGGUGGAUGCCCUGGCAGUCAGAGGCGAUGAAGGACGUGCUAAUCUGCGAUAAGCGUCGGUAAGGUGAUAUGAACCGUUAUAACCGGCGAUUUCCGAAUGGGGAAACCCAGUGUGUUUCGACACACUAUCAUUAACUGAAUCCAUAGGUUAAUGAGGCGAACCGGGGGAACUGAAACAUCUAAGUACCCCGAGGAAAAGAAAUCAACCGAGAUUCCCCCAGUAGCGGCGAGCGAACGGGGAGCAGCCCAGAGCCUGAAUCAGUGUGUGUGUUAGUGGAAGCGUCUGGAAAGGCGCGCGAUACAGGGUGACAGCCCCGUACACAAAAAUGCACAUGCUGUGAGCUCGAUGAGUAGGGCGGGACACGUGGUAUCCUGUCUGAAUAUGGGGGGACCAUCCUCCAAGGCUAAAUACUCCUGACUGACCGAUAGUGAACCAGUACCGUGAGGGAAAGGCGAAAAGAACCCCGGCGAGGGGAGUGAAAAAGAACCUGAAACCGUGUACGUACAAGCAGUGGGAGCCUCUUUAUGGGGUGACUGCGUACCUUUUGUAUAAUGGGUCAGCGACUUAUAUUCUGUAGCAAGGUUAACCGAAUAGGGGAGCCGAAGGGAAACCGAGUCUUAACUGGGCGUUAAGUUGCAGGGUAUAGACCCGAAACCCGGUGAUCUAGCCAUGGGCAGGUUGAAGGUUGGGUAACACUAACUGGAGGACCGAACCGACUAAUGUUGAAAAAUUAGCGGAUGACUUGUGGCUGGGGGUGAAAGGCCAAUCAAACCGGGAGAUAGCUGGUUCUCCCCGAAAGCUAUUUAGGUAGCGCCUCGUGAAUUCAUCUCCGGGGGUAGAGCACUGUUUCGGCAAGGGGGUCAUCCCGACUUACCAACCCGAUGCAAACUGCGAAUACCGGAGAAUGUUAUCACGGGAGACACACGGCGGGUGCUAACGUCCGUCGUGAAGAGGGAAACAACCCAGACCGCCAGCUAAGGUCCCAAAGUCAUGGUUAAGUGGGAAACGAUGUGGGAAGGCCCAGACAGCCAGGAUGUUGGCUUAGAAGCAGCCAUCAUUUAAAGAAAGCGUAAUAGCUCACUGGUCGAGUCGGCCUGCGCGGAAGAUGUAACGGGGCUAAACCAUGCACCGAAGCUGCGGCAGCGACGCUUAUGCGUUGUUGGGUAGGGGAGCGUUCUGUAAGCCUGCGAAGGUGGCCUGUGAGGGUUGCUGGAGGUAUCAGAAGUGCGAAUGCUGACAUAAGUAACGAUAAAGCGGGUGAAAAGCCCGCUCGCCGGAAGACCAAGGGUUCCUGUCCAACGUUAAUCGGGGCAGGGUGAGUCGACCCCUAAGGCGAGGCCGAAAGGCGUAGUCGAUGGGAAACAGGUUAAUAUUCCUGUACUUGGUGUUACUGCGAAGGGGGGACGGAGAAGGCUAUGUUGGCCGGGCGACGGUUGUCCCGGUUUAAGCGUGUAGGCUGGUUUUCCAGGCAAAUCCGGAAAAUCAAGGCUGAGGCGUGAUGACGAGGCACUACGGUGCUGAAGCAACAAAUGCCCUGCUUCCAGGAAAAGCCUCUAAGCAUCAGGUAACAUCAAAUCGUACCCCAAACCGACACAGGUGGUCAGGUAGAGAAUACCAAGGCGCUUGAGAGAACUCGGGUGAAGGAACUAGGCAAAAUGGUGCCGUAACUUCGGGAGAAGGCACGCUGAUAUGUAGGUGAAGCGACUUGCUCGUGGAGCUGAAAUCAGUCGAAGAUACCAGCUGGCUGCAACUGUUUAUUAAAAACACAGCACUGUGCAAACACGAAAGUGGACGUAUACGGUGUGACGCCUGCCCGGUGCCGGAAGGUUAAUUGAUGGGGUUAGCGCAAGCGAAGCUCUUGAUCGAAGCCCCGGUAAACGGCGGCCGUAACUAUAACGGUCCUAAGGUAGCGAAAUUCCUUGUCGGGUAAGUUCCGACCUGCACGAAUGGCGUAAUGAUGGCCAGGCUGUCUCCACCCGAGACUCAGUGAAAUUGAACUCGCUGUGAAGAUGCAGUGUACCCGCGGCAAGACGGAAAGACCCCGUGAACCUUUACUAUAGCUUGACACUGAACAUUGAGCCUUGAUGUGUAGGAUAGGUGGGAGGCUUUGAAGUGUGGACGCCAGUCUGCAUGGAGCCGACCUUGAAAUACCACCCUUUAAUGUUUGAUGUUCUAACGUUGGCCCCUGAUCGGGGUUGCGGACAGUGUCUGGUGGGUAGUUUGACUGGGGCGGUCUCCUCCUAAAGAGUAACGGAGGAGCACGAAGGUUGGCUAAUCCUGGUCGGACAUCAGGAGGUUAGUGCAAUGGCAUAAGCCAGCUUGACUGCGAGCGUGACGGCGCGAGCAGGUGCGAAAGCAGGUCAUAGUGAUCCGGUGGUUCUGAAUGGAAGGGCCAUCGCUCAACGGAUAAAAGGUACUCCGGGGAUAACAGGCUGAUACCGCCCAAGAGUUCAUAUCGACGGCGGUGUUUGGCACCUCGAUGUCGGCUCAUCACAUCCUGGGGCUGAAGUAGGUCCCAAGGGUAUGGCUGUUCGCCAUUUAAAGUGGUACGCGAGCUGGGUUUAGAACGUCGUGAGACAGUUCGGUCCCUAUCUGCCGUGGGCGCUGGAGAACUGAGGGGGGCUGCUCCUAGUACGAGAGGACCGGAGUGGACGCAUCACUGGUGUUCGGGUUGUCAUGCCAAUGGCACUGCCCGGUAGCUAAAUGCGGAAGAGAUAAGUGCUGAAAGCAUCUAAGCACGAAACUUGCCCCGAGAUGAGUUCUCCCUGACUCCCUGAGAGUCCUGAAGGAACGUUGAAGACGACGACGUUGAUAGGCCGGGUGUGUAAGCGCAGCGAUGCGUUGAGCUAACCGGUACUAAUGAACCGUGAGGCUUAACCUUACAAC
This 2917-nucleotide ribosomal RNA is filed under the name Escherichia coli. RNAcentral's name for it is "partial 23S ribosomal RNA". It matches the Rfam family "Bacterial large subunit ribosomal RNA". Lineage: Bacteria; Pseudomonadati; Pseudomonadota; Gammaproteobacteria; Enterobacterales; Enterobacteriaceae. The record is from RNAcentral.